ACACCGCCAGUAGCACGCCCGCAGUCCUCCGGUGCGAGGGCUUGCAGUCCGGCGGCCCACCGGCCAUGGACUCCGGCGGGGGUGGUGAGGACAUGGCCAUCCCAAGGAGGCAGCGGUGACGCCUUACAGCCCAAGGAAGGGCAGGACAGCAGUCCGGCCGCCCACCCCCAGCCCCCGUGCAGUUGGCGUGGUGCGUCCGGUGCAGUGCGGAACGCGUGUGCGUGGGUGCGCAGUUCUGGCGAGGUCAAAGAACUCCCUCUUCCUCGUCCCAUGGCCGAUCCAAGGUGCUCCACGUCGACGUACAGGAAAACAAUGGGAGCGACGGCGAGGAUGGUCUUUUGGUUCACUGAUUUUGUUUUUUGCGGUUGAAAAUCGUCAGGGCCUUAUCAUACUGUAGUUUACUUUUCCUCAAGGUGCUCGCCGCCGACGUACUGCGGUUUGCUAUGAGUUGUUCUUCCGGUUGAAUUUGCAGGGUUUUUCCAGUGAAUUUUUAAAAGGAAAUCAGUUCCUUUUCCUGAGGUGUGAAGUUUACUUGUGCAUAUUUCCAUGUAAUUUUGCACUUAGUCCUGCAGUGCACUCGAUGCGGUAAGCUCUGACCGUGCCCGCAGUUUAGAUGGGAGCUUAAUGAGGUUCACAUUCAAAUGUACUGCUCAACAGUGGUUCAGCAACUCAUCCCGUGCAGCUCGGUUUGCACAGGCAUGCGGUUUGGUGUAUCGCCGCGUGCAGCUCGGGGGUGUGCAGGCGUACAGUUUGUGCAUGGGUGUUUUUUUAAGUUAAAUGAAACUGCAAGUUGUGCAUCCUGGGGGUUUGAUGUGUGUGCGGCAUUGACCAUGCAGUACUCGGAUGAACACAUGUCUCUUGCAGUUAGGCAAACGUGUGAGUGCAGUAUGACAUGUAAUUUCUGGGGGGGUUGCAUUUUUCUUCUGAUUUUGUUGUGCCAUGCGAUGUGUGGUUGCUGGACGUGCUUAUUUUCUAGGUACUAUUGUUUGUGUCUAGAGGUUCGUUUCAUCAUUCUCAAGCGGUUCAUUUUGAAGAAAGAAAAGGAUAGUUAGAAAAAGAAACUAAUGCAGUACACUGGCCUUUACUCCGGAGUUCGGACGCGUUAACACAAAAAAGAAAAAAAUGACAAAAAUAGAAGAAUGCAGUGCACUAGCCUCUACUCUGGAGUUCGGACUUGUUUCAUCAUUCUCAAGUGGUUCAUUUUGAAGAAAGAAAAGGAUAGUUAGAAAAAGAAACUAAUGCAGUACACUAGCCUCUACUCUGGAGUUCGGACGCGUUAACACAAAAAAGAAAAAAAAAUGACAAAAAUAGAAGAAUGCAGUGCACUUGGCUCGCCACUACAGUCCCUUAAGUGCGGUUUUCAUUAUGUAAAAAAAAAACAACAACUCGUAUGAGAAAAAUAACGUCCGACAAAAGAAAUUAUGCAGCUCGCUUGCUCAUCCGAUGCAGUGCGGUUUUCAUUCUGAGGCAGUGCGGUUGGUUGUAUGAUGUUGUUCAUCCCGUAAGUGCAAAAAAAUUGUUACGAAAGCGAAAAAAAGUAAUGCGGUUCACUUCUUGAUAGUGUUGUGGUUUAUUUACACCCGAUGUGAAGUGCACUCUACUUCCUCGUCCUUAAAAAAAUACGUUUGGAUAAAAUAAACCAUGCAGUUCUCUAACACGUCUGCUGCAGUGCGGUUUUUCGUCCGAUGCAGCAGCAACAUCUAUUCCACGCCCCUACUUCAACCAGCUGGACGAGGCUCCAUGGCCUUCGUGUCCUAGCUUCUACUCUCUGGACAGGUUUAUCUCUUUUCCUCUUUCCUUCUCUCCCUCUGUUGUAUGUGUGUGCAUGCGUGUGUUCUUCUUGUUAAUCAUUACUGGUGUUCAGAUUAAUUGGCAUGUCAUGCAGGACGAGUAUUGUGCAAGAAGCCCCAUUAGUAAAGUAUAAAGACCAGGAGUCAAUUUACAUCUUAUUAUCUGACCAUCUUAGAUAUUUCCUUUGUCCUUUGUAUAAGUUUAUUCCCAAUUAGGAAUCAGCUACUAUACCACAGUAGCAUUUAUCUCAUUCUGAAUCUGGAACGUAUUUUAGAAAUCCCCCAUUAGUAAUGUAUAAAGACCAGAGGUCAAUUUACAUGUUAUCUGACCAUCUUAGAUAUUUCCCUAUUAGCUAGGUUUAUGAUUUUGCUUUAUCCUGUGUAUAAGUUUAUUACCAAUUAGGAAUCAGGUAUUGUACCACAGUAGCAUUUAUCUCAUUCUGAAUUUGGAAUGUAUUUUAGAGAAAUCCCAUAUAAAUUAUUUAAUUUAUGACAUAAUUGGAGAAUCAUCAAACAAAAUUUGUUGAUUUGAUGGUUGCAAACCUAGAUGUUUCCAUUUUUCAAAUGCCAUGUAAUGUUUCUCAUAGGCUCGACAUAUACAUGUUGGCCUAAAUCUGCAUUUGUGCUUGGCUGUCUAUCUAAAUUCAGUUUCUUCCUAUAUUUUUGCUGGUUCAAUGGUGCAUUUCUCUCAGAACUUAGGUGUACUGUUGUUAGCUGAAUUUAAUCGUAGAAUGAUCUUCUUUCCAUGUCAUGCAAAAACAGCAACCUUCUCUUCUUUAUAUUGUUAUUUAAAAUAGGUUAUAGGUAUACUGUUGUUAGCUAAUGCAAGUACAAUUUAGUGAUUACUAUUUAGUUGCCUUUCAGAGCCUGCGAGUUUAUAACUAAAAGAUACUGGAGCACCAAACUUAUGAAGGCUAAUUGGCUAAUUAAUCAAAAGGAAAGAAGAAAUGAAUAAUAUUUUUCUUUUGUAAAAUAUUGCAGCAUGCAUCAUUAUGCUUUUGUUUUUUUAUCAAUAUAUGUUCCAUGCCUUUAUGGCAGAUUUGAAAGUGAUAUGCUUGCCUUUUAGGGUGUUACUAUGGCAGAGAAAAGGAGAGCUGAGAUCAAGGUGCCAUUUUGAAGCGAUGCAAACCUUGCAUGUAUGCACAAUUUCAGGUCACAAUACUUUGAUAGUGAGGUAAAGCUACCUAUCGCCAACCUUUUGUGUUCAGAUCUGAGAGAAAUAACCAAGAGAAAGGAAGAAGGUAAGGUAUGUGCCCACUAAACUCCUAAGGAGGUAAGGCUGUUGUUUGGAGCAUUAGGCCACAGAAGCAAUGUCCAUAUUUAUGCUAUAUGCUACUUGUAGUGAGGCGAAGAAAAUACUUUACAAGCCCUCAGAGCGCUCUUUCCAUAUUUCCAUACAAAAGGAUCAUUGUCAAGCAAAGAUGAGUUGACUGAAUUUUUGGCACAUUCAUUCUCAUGACUUCAAUUGAUUUGAUUAUCUGCGAUGGAAUUGAUUAUGACAAUAAUGGCAACAUGGUCAGAAUACUUGCUGUUGUUGGACCAAGGGGAUGCUCUGAUGCUUCUGUUGUUUCGUUGCACAUCCUUGUUAGCUAUAUCUCUUAGUUCAUUGUGAAUUGCGAUACUACUUUUCUCAUGAGAUAUAUUGGUCAUAAUAAAAUGUUAAACAACUCUACACCUUAUUUACAAAUUCUCAUCGCAGGUGCGAGUACUCCUCAAAGGAUCUAUUUGAGAUUGCAUGGAAGUCAUGCGAGAAAGAAGCGAAUUCUAUGCCAACCCUACUGUGUGUAUAUGUGAAACGACUAAAGAUGACCCCUCUGCUGCAGGAGCGAAGAAUUCCGAAGAUGAUCCCACUAGGACAGAAGAGGUGAUUGAUAUUGGGGCUGGCGAUGAUUCUUUUGUCAGAUGGAAGGAUACUGAGCUAGAGGAGAUCCUGAUUAGUUGAGUUAUUGUGCAGCUCAAAGAAAUUAGCUUUUGCAUACCAGUGGUGUAUGUGGUAUACUAAAAAUUCAGAGAAUUUCCGAUUUUAUUUGGACGGAUUUUGGUGUGUGC
RNAcentral lists this ribosomal RNA (3839 nucleotides) under Triticum aestivum (bread wheat). Its description in RNAcentral is "partial small subunit ribosomal RNA". The record is from RNAcentral. Lineage: Eukaryota; Viridiplantae; Streptophyta; Magnoliopsida; Poales; Poaceae.